ACAUGUUACAACUCUUUUAGAAUUUGUCUAGCAGGUCUUCAGGUCUAUACCAAAAGGUUCCCCC
Molecule: non-coding RNA, 64 nt
Organism: Erinaceus europaeus (western European hedgehog)
Lineage: Eukaryota; Metazoa; Chordata; Mammalia; Eulipotyphla; Erinaceidae
Source: Rfam